Molecule: unclassified non-coding RNA, 348 nt
Filed under: soil metagenome
Description: partial contains 5.8S ribosomal RNA, internal transcribed spacer 2, and large subunit ribosomal RNA
Rfam family: 5.8S ribosomal RNA (bases 1-120)
Source: RNAcentral
GAUGAAGAACGUAGCGAAAUGCGAUAAGUAAUGUGAAUUGCAGAAUUCAGUGAAUCAUCGAAUCUUUGAACGCACAUUGCGCCCGCCAGUAUUCUGGCGGGCAUGCCUGUCCGAGCGUCAUUUCAACCCUCGAACCCCUCCGGGGGGUCGGCGUUGGGGAUCGGCCCUUUACGGGGCCGGCCCCGAAAUACAGUGGCGGUCUCGCCGCAGCCUCUCCUGCGCAGUAGUUUGCACACUCGCAUCGGGAGCGCGGCGCGUCCAAUGCCGUAAAACACCCAACUUUCUGAAAUGUUGACCUCGGAUCAGGUAGGAAUACCCGCUGAACUUAAGCAUAUCAAUAAGCGGAGG